AACCUCUAACCCACGCUGAGGGCCAGAGAAAUACCUGGUGAGCUGCUCUGCCAGCUCCCACACCUCUUCUGCUGCUGAAGGAAAUAGGGGUCUUUUCCAGGAGGGGCUAUCAGGUGUUGCUGACAAACUGUUGGUACAGCAGAUCACAUAAUCCUAAACCACCCCUGUGCCUCUCAGACCCACUCACUCCUUGCCAAAGAUGAAGCCAAAGUAGCUCUAGAAGAGGCACCCACCAUGACUCUGAGAUGGGAACAGGGCAUCCCCCUCCCCACAGGCUGCACCCACUGUGAUACACAGUGGGGUGGCACCCCCACUGCCACUAUCACAGCACUGCUCUCUUGCCCCUCACUGACACCCACUCCAGGAGCUCCAAGUGAUGGGUACAUCUCCCACCACCUGCUUUGCUCCUGGACAGGUUAAAGGGUGAUGCCACAGAAGCCCAGCUCAGGGCCUGGACUGUCCUGCUGAGCUAACCUGUUACAAGCUGUCUCCCCACCAGUGCCUCACCACUGGUGAAUAUCACUCAUCACACUGUGGUCAUUGUCACUCAGCCCCACAAGAACAGCAUCCAGGACUCCAUCUUCCCUAUCAGCUCUGCCUGGAGGCACCUCUUCUGCUUGAAACCUCAAUUAGUGCCACGAAUAAAGAAAUCUCUAUCUUCGUAUUACUCGCGCCCUUUGCUCCUCUCACAUGGAUGAUCCAGGACUUCCUAGGAAACACAAGGAAGGCUCUCCAUUACCCACUUCUGCUCCCUGUGGUGGAAACACCCCUUCCUUCCUCUCUUGCUUCUCAAAGAGGCUAAAAAUACCAGCAAAAUGAAACAGCUCUGACUCCUCUCAGCUCCAUCACUGGCAGUGAAAGUCUGAGCAGGACCUACACGUGUAUUUUGGCCAACUUCCCUUGCCAAUGGCCAUGGCAUCACAGGUAUGUGGGAGUCUGUCUCCAUUUGUGAGAGAGACCCUGGAGAAUCCCCCAGGAGAACCCUGUCCUUGCAGGUUAUGAGUGCUUUCCUGAAGGAUGUGCCAAGCAGCACCUGAAGGUGGGCAGCCCUGCUGUAUGCAUGAGAACUGAUAAACUUGGGAUUCUCAGGGGCUGUGAGCAAGAGUACACACAUGGGUGCAUGAACAGAGGCAGAUGUUACCUGCCCAUGGCAGGAGCAGCUUGAUCACAGUCCUAAGAACCCCUUAUGAUUAAGCCCAUCCCCUGUCAGCCCACUGCCACUGCAGAGGAUUUUCCAUGCAGGGCAAAAUCAGGGCAAAAAAAUGAUGUGAUGAAGCUGGGCACUCCAACAGGCCCAGCUGCCCAAGCCAUGCUCUGAUAGUCUGCUGUUAGGUGCUGUGUGCAAGUCCUGUAACCAGCACCACUGGAAAAAAUAAUAUUAGCCUACAUUUGGCUGGGCCCUGUCUUUCUCUUCCAUCUCAGUGGCUUUGUUCGAAGCGGUGAGAAGGUGCCUCUCCCUCCACCAGAGGAAGACAACCCUUUUGUCCCCCCUCACAAGAACACAGGUAGCCCCAUUCCGACGCCCAGCUCAUUCCUUGCCUCCAGACAGGCUUUGCUGACAGCUCCAGAUGAGCACGACAGACACAGAAAACAAACCAGAGCUAAAGUGAUUUUUGCCUCAGCCUGAAGGUGCGUCUUUGAACUUCCCGACAAGACUGGGAGAACUUCUUCCCCCAGAGAGACCCUCCCUUCCCAAAGGGCUGUGAUUUCUGACACGGCUCCCUGAGUAGUGGAGUAGUUUCCCCUCUCUCCUGACCUGUGGAAGUAACUCUCUGAGGGUUUCUUUCCCUAGGUGCCUUCCUGCCCACUAGCUAGGUGGAUGCCCUUUGCUUUUAUCAGGGAAAGCUGAAGGAGAUAGAGGGGAUCACUCCGUGACCCCUCCCAGUUCCAGCUACAUUAGAGCCACCGUGCUGGGGACAGUGGGACAGGUAACACUGAGCUCUGCAGGGCCCUGCAUCCAGCUGUGCCCCAGCUGUGCCAGUCCUCCCUGUCCCUCUAGUGCUGGGUAGAGGGACCCCUAACCCAGAGAGGCCCCACAGAGAGAAAGCCUGCCACAAAGGACUGCCAAAGCUUCUUAGCAGGGCAAGGAGCUGCAACACAGUGUCCCAGAGAAAGAUGUUAAGGAGUUCCAGUGAACCCAGACUGCACUGCAAGGCUUUGGGAAGCUUAAGAACAACGGGAGGGUGGGUGAGAAUGACUUUUUUACUGCUGUCUCCUAAAAUGCUGUUAUUUCGUCGUGAAGAACAGACACCUCUGGAGGACCUCCUGGCUAAAGGAGGGAUCACCUCACCAUUCCUUUCCUCCCACUUCUUCUCAGACAACACCAAACCAUCACUGCCAGGCCACUCUGCCUGGUCUCUUCAGAGCUUCAGUCUGCUUGCUGGCCAGGACUGAGCCCUCUCUCAAUUCAAGCCACCUGAAUACUUGGGCUGGUAUGUCACCGCUCGGAGCUGGGGGUGCAGGUACAUGUAGCAAAGGGCAGAAAUCUGAAACACCUCAUCCUGCAGGCAGCCAGCAGGGGCAGAGCCCACCUCGCUGCCAGCCGUGCUCUGAGCCUUCACUCUGAGCCACGCUCAUCACUGCUGGGGGCAGCUCAUCUGUGGGGACAGCCCCUCGCUGAGCCCUGCACAAGCCAAGCUGUGACACAUAACCCAGCUUGUGUUUCACAAGCAUGGCUCCCUUCUCACACGACACUCCCCGCCACAGCAUCGCCUCUGAUCUGCCAGGCCCUGCCCCAGGCUCAGACACAUCACUGCAUUUUCUUCCACUUACACCUUGAGCUUGGUGCCCGGGGAAGAUUUUGCACUCCUGCCUUGAUUCCCCAGUUUUCCACCCAGCUGCACAGCCUCCUUCACACAGUCAGUUCUUCCCUGGAGCAGGCUGGCAGCACACAGAGCUCCUUCUCCAAAGAUCUGAGGCACAGCCAGAAGCAGCAGCUCGCUCUCCCUCCCAGGGCACAGCUGUUUGCUGGGGAGCAGGAGGGUGCCCAGGGGACAGCCGCUACCUCCAGGACAGCAGGACAGGUGGUAGGCCCAGAGCUGCUCGGCAGCUCAGCCUCCAGCCCUGGCUCGGUGGCCAAGCCCCCUCUCCGUGGUGGAGGAUUCCGGAGGCAGCGUUUAAUCGCUGGCUUUGCAGGGUACACCAGCCAUGUUGCAACAGCUCCCAGCAGCUCUCGCAGGCAGCGCUGCAAUAGGAGGCAGCUGCCAAAGAGCCUGAGCCACCAGCAACGGGGGUCUAGAAGCAGAGCCCUUCAAAUAUCAAUUGCCUGAGCACCACCUCUGCUUGGCUGCACCCAUCUGUUUCCUCACAGGGACCCAGGGGCUCCCCAACCUCAGGGGCUGGGCCUCACAGAGGAGGGCACGGUCUCAGCUGUGGUCCCAAGUGUGGAUCAUCCCCUCCUUUCCACCCAAAAUCUCAGCAUGCAAGGCAGCUGGUACUAUUCCCCUUUCUCAGGCAGCUCCCCCCAGCACCCCUGGGUGGCAGAGGCAAGCAGAGAGCAAUGGCUGACGAGGGCACAGCUGCCAGGAGCAGCGAGCCACCCCUGAUAGCAAGCGAACACUGCACCUGCAGGCGGGGCAGGGCUCCUCCCUUACCCACCCAGCACAUCCCUCUCCCAGAGCUACCCUCAGCAGGCACCAGAGGCUCCAGAACCCACAAGCAUGCCUGGUCUGGCCCAUGCCAUCGGGAGUCCCUGUGACAAGCCUCAUUGGGUUUCAGAGGAGACACAGCCCCCUGCAUCCCAAAUCGAUGGGAGCACUUGGUAUUGCUAAGAGGAUCAAUUCUGGCACUCUCCCACCGUCUCACUUGGGGUUCCUGUUUCACAGGGGCAGGAAGGAAGCAGAAGCACCUGGGAUUUCUAGGAAAGGGCUGGAAAAAGGCUUUCCUUGGGGAGGGGAGAGAGAUGAAGCUUUUUUCUUCCAUGGGGAAGAGGUGUUGGAAGAGGAGAUGAGCCAGCUGCAGGACAGGCACGGCGCAGAUGGAAGCGUCACCUCGCACUCGACCCCUCGGGAACGCCGGCCCCGGCGGGACAGAUGUGCCCGCAGCUGGAGGCUGCACCCUCGAGGGCAGGUGCGGGGCACGGCCGCGCUCUCCCAAGGCCGGGAGGAGCAGCGCCAGGAGCGGGGCCGGCUGGCCGAGCGGGCAGGCAGGAGCCCCGGGCGAGGGGCCGGACACUGAGGGCACUGGCACGGGUCUCUUCGGCAGCGGGGAGGUGCCUGGAGGCAGCAGGAGCGGCCACGCUGUGCUGUGGCACCCCCGGCGUGUUUGCCGCACCUGGCAACAGGUCUGGCAGCCUCAGUGCAAACCUGCCGAAGUUCACCAGGGCUGCAAGCACUGCAAAGGGAAUUUAAAAACAGCAUACACACGCCUUCCACAGGCACAAAGGAGGGGAAAAAAUACAUCUCAAGGUUUCAGGUCUCUCCCCAGAAGGACAAACCCAUUUUUGUAUCCAGCUAUGUCUAAGAAGAAUUUUAUCUUGGGUGGUACUGCUGCUACUCUUCCUUACUGUCCUGAGCAGGUUUCUCUCCCCUGCCUCUCCUCCCCAAGCUUUGCAGGCUAUCUGUGCAGGUUGUGCUGUGGACAGAAGUGGACAACAUCAGUAUUUUUAGAUCUCAAGGCUACUUCUGUACCUGAACAGAAGAACUUUCUUUAUUCCCUGUGCUCGCAGUGCCUGUCUGUGACAGUCCUGGAUGGCAGGAGUGGCACUUUGGCAGUUCAAACAUCCGGUCCCAUCAGUUCCUCACACCGCAGAGCUGACUGCCAUUGAGGCGAUGUAUUAGUUCUUGGCCAAGACCCAGGAUGUCAGCUGCUCCUCCAGAGAAGAGCAGGCAGAGCCCUCCAAGGCAUACAGUCCUGCUCAUACAGACUCUCAGGAGUCUUAGGCUCCUGCCAGAGAAACUGGAAAGAGAUGUUACUCCUGGACUAGAGUGGAGACAAGCACACACCUCUAGGGUCACCAUGUGCAGGUAAGCUUGGGGCAGCCUCUUGAGAAUGAUCCAAGUGUCCCCUUUGCCGUUUGGAUGCACAGACUGAACUGUAUUACAUGCAGGACACAAGAGUCACCAGCAUUCAUCCAGGGAGCUUUGAUGUAGCUCCAUCACAAAGCACAAACCCCGCCUACCAAAAUGUGAUUUCUCUGCAGCAUGGCUGUUAUUUGGCCUCUGACCUGGGACAGAAAGUAAGGAUGCUGCCUUUUCCCACAGCCAGAUCACAACCACUGCAACUCACCACUGCAGCUUGGAUGCCAAGCACCAAAAGCUCACCCCUUGUGACCUGACCUUCAGUCAAGUCACCAGCGUGGCUCAGGCUGGCUGGCAGAAGACCCAAUUUGACCUUCCUACCUGCACUACUGUCAGUCAGGUCGAUUCCAUAGAUGCACAGCAGAGCACAGGGCCCCUGGGAGAGUGCAUGCACAUCUGCUGCAAAUUAGGAGACAGCACUUCUGUCCUAGCCAGCAUCUCUGCUCACAAGGUAUCUGCUGAUUUUUCUCCUUCAAAUUGUCCAGCUGACCAUCAGGUUCACUUCAGACCAACUCAGCCUUAAAGGAAACCUGAGGAGAGGUUAUGUGCUCAGAGAAGUUUUCCUGCUCCUCUUCCCAGCUGGUCUCCACCCAGAUGCAGCUGUGAUACCAGACUGCUCUUUCCAUCAGCCAUCCUUCUCACUGCUCUUCCCACCUCUGCCUCAAAUGGCCAUAUUUCCAGCUCCAUUUCUUCAUAUCCAGGUGUGUUUUCUAUUUUCAGACCUUUCAGACAGUUCCUCUUGAAGCCAUUCCAGCUCCUUCUUUGUGCAGACAGAAGAGACAUGGAGGAAGGGAAUUUUCUCAAGCACCAGCACAUGGAGCAGGCAGUUCUGCUUAAAAUCCAAGAUUAGCCAUUUCCAAUCCACUUCCUUCCAUCACCAUCAUUCCUGUGACAGGUAAAACAGAUAUCCUGGCCACCACAGAGGAGCAGCCUCAAACCCAGUCUCUCCAGCUUUAAUUUACAUUAUUCUACUCAGGCUAGAAAAAGCUGGACUGAGUUUACUGUCAUUCUGGCUUGUCAUAUUGUAAGGCACAGGCUGCUGUUUUCAAAAAGUUUUUGCCAUGUGUGAGCCACCCCAAGCACUGAAGUUGUAUUUUUUCAAGACCAGAAGGUCCUUGCCAGAAACGAGAACAAUUCAGCAAUACCACGAGCUGAGGCACUUCUGUCCCAGAUCAGCCCCACUGCUGAACCUCAACAAGGAACUGCAUGGCUUCGUGCACUUCCCAAGUCCUGCUGGUUACUAAGAAAAGUAAUGUACCUCGUGGAACUCUGCUAAGAUAGAGGUUCCAGUAAGUGGGUCUACACAGGAGCACCAAGGAGGAUGGCAGGAUGCACAAGAACUUGACUCUGUGUCCUUGCUAGUCAUUAGAUUGCUAAGUCUAGUGUAUUUAAUACAAGUUCAUGACUUAGCCUGGAAGUCAUUAGCCAAGGGUCCAUCACUGACAGGAGACCCAAGCUGAGCAGUUGUUCAGAACUCUGUAGCUUUCUGCCCUAUCCACCCUCAGUUGAAAGGAGCCUCUAUGCCACCCAGGGAGCAGCCCAAAGCCAUUGCUCUCGGAGCAGCAAAAGGCAACUGCUCCCUCUGCCCGAGCAAAGGGCUCACACCGUGCUCACUGUGUCAGCUCAGGUAUGGCCAGCUUGCCCUGAGACACAGAAAACAGGAGCCCCCAAACUGGCAUCCAUUUCAUGCUACUUUCUUUACAACAGCCUCCAGCAGUCCUCUGCUGCUUCUGAAACAAAGAUGGUAUCUUUACUAAUGGUUACUGAUGGCUUCUUUCCUCACAAACUGGCCACAUCUUUCUGAACUCAAACUGUUAGCACCCACAACUGAGGAAGAACUUGUCACAAAGCUAAGCAAGGCAUAGACUUGUUCAAUCUGCCAUCUUGUACUUUAACCAAGCAUGCCCAAUUCUAAAUAUUAAUGAAAACAAUGAACAGUCAUUCCCUACUUGUCACACAGUUUUACCCACCUUUAUCAUUUCUGUUGGGAAAAGAUGCCAGAGUGGAUAAAUCCCAGCCUACUUACAAGGUUUCCUGAAGGAAGCUUUUCCUUUAUCUUUAUUUGGCUGGCCUGAUGUGUGUGUCAUUCCCAGUGCCACUAUCUGAGCUGCACUUCUUCAAAAAUACCACCAUCCAUAUCCCAGGUACUGAGAGAAACCUUGCAAAUGUGAUCUUCCUCACCUCCACAAAGCCUUCUAGAUCACUUAAAGAGAUGUAGCCUCCCCUCCUUUUGACUCUUUACCCCCACAGAUCCAGCCCCAAAAAUUCCAUUUACCAAGUGAAAUAAUUUGGAUGACAGCAAAAAGAGGGUUAAAGACAUUUAUAAAAAGUUUUAUUUACAGACCUUUCAUUGCCUAAGCAUGAAACUCUCCAAAUGACAGAAGUCACAAUUUCUGUAACCUAUGUGUACAAAGUGCAUGUCUUUCCCCUUUCUUCUCUCUGUAGCAGAAGAUGGGGGUAGGGGAGUAUCUCUUUCUUUAUACCUUUAUGCCCCAAGACAAUGGGAGUAACAGCUGGGUCAGACUGAAGGGAACAAGACCUGUUGAUGACCGGGUUAUCCACCAGGCAGACUAUGAAUAGUAGUUUGGAAUAAAGUAAGGUUAGGAAAAGUGACUCUUUGUUUACUUGUUCAGUCUGCCCAGUGGACUCCCUGUGGAAAAAGAACAUAAGAUCAAUGCCCCAGGGAAUGAGAAAGAAAGGUUAUUCAGCUAUUCAUUACAUUUAUUCACAGACUCAAUUCAACCACUUCAGGUUUCUCAGGUACAUUUGACUCAGUUUCUAUUCGCAGCCCUGUUGCUCUGGGCUCAAACACAGGCUCCAAAACUGAAUCUGAUUAUCCUAGUGGGAGACAGCUCCUGUACUCCCCAAGCAGUUAGUUGCAUAAGCUCACAUAUAGCCCCACACUAUCCGUGUCAGGCAGGGAUGAAAGGUUUUGGACAGCAAAUGAAAACAGUGCCAACAGCAGCCCAUUGCACAGAACAAGC
This is a long non-coding RNA of Passer domesticus (house sparrow), 8002 nucleotides long. RefSeq lists it as uncharacterized. Lineage: Eukaryota; Metazoa; Chordata; Aves; Passeriformes; Passeridae. The transcript is spliced from 2 exons. The record is from RefSeq and is a predicted model, not a curated record.